This 253-nucleotide ribosomal RNA is filed under the name uncultured bacterium. RNAcentral's name for it is "partial 16S ribosomal RNA". It matches the Rfam family "Bacterial small subunit ribosomal RNA", at positions 524 to 776 of the family's 1533-position model. The record is from RNAcentral.
UACGAAGGGGGCUAGCGUUGUUCGGAAUUACUGGGCGUAAAGCGCGCGUAGGCGGCUUUGUAAGUUAGAGGUGAAAGCCCGGGGCUCAACCCCGGAACUGCCUUUAAGACUGCAUCGCUUGAAUCCGGGAGAGGUGAGUGGAAUUCCGAGUGUAGAGGUGAAAUUCGUAGAUAUUCGGAAGAACACCAGUGGCGAAGGCGGCUCACUGGACCGGCAUUGACGCUGAUGUGCGAAAGCGUGGGGAGCGAACAGG